CUCAUCUGCAGCAUGUGAUGUUCCCAGGCCAGGGAUCAAACUCACACCACAGCAGCAACCCAGGUUGUUGCAGUGACAACACCAGGUUCUUAACCCACUGUGCCACAGGGGAACUCCCGGAAGUAAAAUUCUUAUUUUAUUUCAGUUGUAUUUAUAUUUAAUCUCAAAUUUCAGAUUGUAAUAUGUUAGAACUUUAGUCCUUAUAAAAGAAAAUAAAUUUCUUGAAGAGAAAAAAAGAACGUCUUGUGGUAGCUGAAGGGUUCAUAAUUUCAUCCUGAUAAAAUUAUUUAUUAUAGUUUCCUCCAGCUGUCUUAUUUUUUAAGAAAUGCAUUGAUGGCUACGAGCGAUCAGAGCAAAGCUUCGAACUACUCAUACAUAAGUCUACAGUUAGCACAUGUAACAUAGGGAAAUGGUUACCACUACAAACUCAAUUUAUUUGUUAAUACUUUAUUAGUUUCAUGUUAAUAUUUUUUUCUUGAAGCCUAACCCACAGAGAAUUUCAUUACUACUACCAUUCAGGUGUCAAAUCCCUCUCUAAAACAAAACAAAAGAAACUCUUCUACAAAAGUGGAUCUUUAGUUUUGCAGACAAAAGAAACUGUGAAAAAGAAGAUUAAAUCUUCAUCAUUUUAACUUACAAAGCAAAUGCAUAGGGAAAUAGCAUUAUUCACCAUUUAAAUUGCCUAAUUAGUCUUGGGAGUUUUUUCAGUCUGUCCAAGGUAAAGGAAUUCUACACCCAGAUAUAAUAAUGUUAAAUGCCUAAAUAGCAGACUUAAGUAAAUCCUUCAUUGGAAAAAAUAAAUCACCUCUGUGCUGAGGAAGCUCUAUUCAGAUACCAUCUGAAAGAUCUAUCGAGCCCUGAAGUGAAAUACAUACAUUUUUAAAAGGAUAAACAUAGAGAAAAAUGUCUGUCCUGCUCUAAGGUGAAUAUAAAUAUCUAUCCAAAUGUUCAAGAGCUCCCUGAUUUAUUCUUAAGUAACAACCUGGACUCUCUAAACAUUGUUUAUGGUGGUCAAAUGAGCAUGUACACAGAGUUUCGAUACAAGAUAUCUGCUAGUAUACUUCCUUUUGAGAGUAAAACAUUCUUAAAGCAUCAUUUACUUUCACAAACAGCAUCUGCUCACCAUGUGGCACCAUUCUUGUUAACACCAAAGUAGCAAUUUGAGCUUAACAGCUUGGGAGCUCUGUUUAUAAUAAUAAUAGUAUAUGAUGUCAAGUCCUCAGAGUCUCAGAUGUCAAAGGUGAUCAUGAACCUAAAUGCAAAUUCCCAAAAAGUGCUCUGCUGGGAAAAGGAUUCUUACCAAAUCCACAGAUUCCAGUAGAAAUAGAAAUACUUGGUCUCUAGCUUCUAAUAAGCCCAGGAAUUGUCUUUCCAAUUUCACAGCAUCACCUUCAUCUGGUUCUAAUGUACACACGUCUAGUGAAUUAGUUCCCCUUGGGGGAGAAUUUUGUUGUCUUAAGAGCUUGAGAUUUUCAAUGAAGUGUCAAUGAUUUUAUACAAAUUAUUGAAAGUUUUAUAUUACAACUGUUCUCUUUCUUUUGUAUGAGCUGACUGUUUACUUUUUGAGCACCUUCAAACCUUCUAGCAUUUCAGAAUAAUGUUUAAAACAUGGCAUUAUUAAGAAACUUUAAGAUUGCAGCUGUGAAAACAGACCUAUGUCAUUAUAAUCAGUGAGAAAGUCCCUUAAGUGGGAUUUCAGAAUAUAAAAGGAGCCCAUGCAGAGAAUUGGCAGGGUAAAAACCAGAGAGAAAAGAAGGAAAGAAAGAGGAGAAAAAAAUCCAUCAGGCAAAGAGAGGGGGUGUUUCUAUUCUUGACAGCCCAUUUAAAAAUAUUAGUAAUUCAGUAUUUGAGUAGAAGACUUCUUCUACGGGGGAGGAGAUAUAGUUACUUACUGCAUUGCUUUGCAUAAUCACUUUAUAUGUUACAUCUAUUAAAGCACUUAUUCUUGUUUAUUCUAAAUGGUUAUUUACCUAUCUGUUUUUCUUGUAGACUGUGAGCUCUUCCAGUGCCAGGACUAUGUGGUAUGUGUCCUACAAAAUAGGACCUAUUACAUUUCAGGCAUUCAACCUUUAUGGUUAAAUAAGUGGUAGAGUCUAGCAAUUGUAUAGAAAACACAUUUUUGGUCAGACUAAGAUGCAGAAGUAAGAAAAUAUUUGGGGAAGGAAAAAUUAUUCUGUCUUAGCAUUGUUAUUAAUGGAAGAAAUGUUCAAUAUACUUUAACAUGCUGUGGUAAGAUGACCACAGAGACUCAGCAAAUUAAACGACACUUCUCUGGGUUGUCCUCAUCUCCUGGGACAGACAGUAAUUCUAUAGUGAGUGUUUUUCCUUUGGACAUUGAACUUUUUGCCUGAACAGAUUUGUAGGAACAGAGAAGGCAGACUAUAGUAUAUUACUCAUGUGAUAUAUUUUGUAGCCUGGUGUCCUGAGAAAUGAAGAUAAUGAGACACUUAAAGUUCCUCCUUGAAAGAAUAGUUUAGAUAAAUCCAAACUCCAUAAGAAGGAAGAGAUUCCAAAAAGGGGCCACAGUGGACUGGAUUGGGGGAAAGUGGUAUCCUAUUUCAGCUGGGCCCCAGGCACCGCCUCUCAAGUCUCUUACCCUGUCCUUUCUUGUCAAGUUUGCCAGUUUUCUUAGUGUCUACAAGGAAUCUUCAUCUCUUUUCUCAAGGUCUAUAAACAAUAUUUGCAAUUCUUCCCCUUCUUCCAUCCUAAAAAAAAUACCCUCCCUUUAGUCUGUGUCCGUUAAAACACUGUCAUUUUCUUCCCUUUCCUUUUGGUGCACAUUUCCUUCCUCUUCAUCUCCACUUCCACAUCAGCCUGCAGCUCCUCUACCACCGGACUCUAGCUUCCAGCUCCAUCACUCUAAGAUACUGCUCUCACCAAAUCUGCCGGUGACUCCCUAACUGCCACAUCUAUGGACACUUUUAGCCCGCAUUGUACGGAAGGUUUGAUAUUGUUGAUUCCUCCUUCAAUACAGCUCAAAAGAGCUGACAAAAAAUAGGCUAGUUAUGAGGAAUAAUAUUAGUAAAGUGCUUAGCACAGCUCUUUGCACAUAGUAGUAAAAGCUGUUUGCUAAUGUUAUUAUAGUACUAUUCUUCUCAGAUGCCUUCGUGAGUCCUCUUUCUGCAUCUCCUUUUUAACGCAGGUGCCCCUAACCAAGUGCCCUGGUGGUCCACACUCUGUCACUGGGUAAUUUUCCCAGCCUUUUGAUUUUAACAACACUCAUGUUAUGAUGCUCACCUCUACAUCUCCAGCCCAGUGACCGACUAAAUCUUUCUAUGUGUACAUCUAACUGCCUGUAGGAAAUCCUCACCUCAAUUGGCAAUACAUCCUUGGGGGGUAAAACCACCCCCAUUUGAGAAUAGGUGGUUCACAUAGAUGGUUAUUUGUGUCUUUCCUCAGGUGACUGUGAACUUCCUGAGAGCUGGCAGUGUCUCAUUCAUCACUGUGUCUUUCAGACACAGCACAGAGCCCCAUACACACUGAAGCCACAAAUCUAACACUACAAUUCUCAAUUUAGAAGAUCUUACUUUAAUGAGAAAGCAUAUUUACACCCUCACCCCACCAAAGUCCCUGUAUAGAUUGUUACGUCUAGUCCCGAUUUCUCAUAAAAGGAAGCAUCUAGAAUAUUUCAAUAAUGAGAAAAAAUACAUGUUAAGUGGAUGGUGACUAAAAUUUUGAGAUAAGAGCAUACUGUUAAAUUUAGAAAUCAGAUGAAACUUUACUUGAGAAAAGGUUUGAAUAAUAGUAUAUUCUAUUAAAAGAAUGAUUUGCUGGUUAUUUUAAAAAUAAUCCAAGGAAACAGGAACUUCUAAAAAUUUCCCAGCAGCCUAAGUCCAAAACUUGAAAGAAAUAAUAAAGUACUGGGGCUGUUACAUCUGAAGCCAUCGCAUCUAUGGCUCCCUGUCAAUUUAUAGUGGUAAAUGUGCCACAGAAACAAAUUUGUCAUGGGAAUUUUCACAGCAAUAAAUAUCACAGUCUGGUGGCAGUAGAUGGAGUUAUGGAUCACACCCUCACAAGUCUUAGGCCUAGUUUGGGGAAUGUGACAUGUGUAAUGCACAUUAGCUGAGACCUUCAAGUCUUUUCAUGCUUCACAAACCAGACCAGAUUGGCUGAACUACAGAAUAUAUUUGCUGCAACACAAUAAGUUAGCCUAAGUCAUACCCCAGCUGAUUGUGAGAGACAAAUUAGCUGAAAUCAGAUUUUCAAACCAAUGUGAUACAGUGGGAAUGUGGAUCAAUCUCAAAAUCACUUUGAUCCACAAAUCAUAAUGUUCUCCAUUGCUCAAAGGCAUGAAACCACUUAAGUGGAAUAGGAUUUACUAAGAAUACCAUCAAUUAAAAGAUAAAGUAUUAGAAUGUCUAGGUUCCAAAAGUGUGUAUAUCAUUGGCCUCUAACUUAGAAGCUUUAUAAUCAUGGCUACAAGUCAUAUACCUCAAGAGAGUCCUAAAAGAGUCAAUAAUAGACUUGCCUUCAAAAAAUUAAUGAUCUAAUAUUUAAAACAGGAGUACAACAUGAUCACAAAACCAGGUAAUAUUUGAAGGUAACAUAAACGGGGCAAAUUAAGUGCCAGGGAGGUUUCAAAGUAAAGAGACAUUGCAUUUGAUAGAAGGACACCAGGAUUCUUGCAGAGGGAGAUAUUUUAGAUGAGGUGAUGUAUCACAAGUAGAAAUUGGGUUGGGCUCUGUUCAGAAAAACACCAAUAAAUCAUUUUUUAAUUUAUGUGAAAGCCUAAAACACAGUGCUUGAUUCAUGGGAGGCACUCAACAAACAUUCAUUUUCUUCCCUCCUGUAGGGGUGUUGUGGACUGAACUGUGUUCCUCCCAAAUUCAUAUGUUGAAGUCUUAACCCCCAGUGCCUCAGAAUGUGCCUGUGUUUGGAGACAGGGCCUUUAAAGUGGGAAUUAGGUUAAAACGAGUUCAUAUGGAUGGGUCCCAAUUCAAUAUGACAGGUAUCCUUACAAGGAGAGGUUAGGACAUGGACACACACAAGGGAAACCAUGUGAAGAUACAGGAAAAGAAUGGUCAUCUACAUGUGAAGGAGAGAGGCCGCAGAAGAAACCAGCCCUGCCAACAGCUUGAUCUGGGACUUCUCCCUUCCAGAACAAUGGGGAAUUUAAUUUCUGUUGUUUAAGCCAUCCAAUCUUUGUUACUUUAUUAUGGGCAACCUGGCAAAUUAAUACAAGGGGUCAGUGAAUGCAGGGCUAAGAAGAUGACUUGGAUAUCUCCAGUGAAGGAGAUGAAGUUUGGGGGCUUGAUUUAUGAGUGGAUAGGAAGUUGAACCAGGUGUGUGAGCUGAGACCUGAGCUUAGAUGAAAAAGAUUUGGCUUUUGUGUUUGGGUUGUGACAGUGAGGGAGACAAAUUUAGAAGACCAGUUUAGAGAGUACUGGGUCAUUCAAUCAGCCGAAGUACAAAAUAUUCGGGAUAUGAACUGGUUCACUGAUAGCAGGAAUGGGAAUUAAAGUGUAUUUAACUUAGCUAUUGACUUUACAAAGGAGAGCCAGGGAAUGAGAAAGCUCAGUGUUUCCAAGUGUUUAGCAUGGUAAAGAUAUUAAUAAUAAGGAUGUUAGUAUAAUUGUUAAUAAGUUAAAAACAUGGUUCUCUGUACAUAUAGAAUACAUAUGUUAAAGAUUUUAUUCAACUUUUUAAUUAAUGGGAAAAAAAAACGGUGAUGCACACAUAAACACAUACCCCAAAAAUGGUCAAUCAAGAAUGCUGAUAUUAAUUUCCUAAUAAGUGACAAACUGGUUAAUAUAUUAUAAAGGGUGAUAGAAUUACUUGGGACAUUUUUUUCCAUAUUAUAGUGAUCAAAUGUUUCUAUGGGACAAAAUACCCUUGUACUGCUGUGGAGAAGAGUCAUUUGCACAGCUAUCAGUUUUCUACAACUUCUGCACUUUCAGAGUGUAAAAUAACUCAGUCAACAGAAAGAUAAUAAAAGAUGUGCACUCCUAUAGAAUUAGAUAAUCCACAGAGGGUCCCCUAGGUAUGCUUUUGUCCAUUUCCAAGUCGUGUGUUAUUUUUUCUGACAAAUACAGGAGAGGUUAUUUCCCAUUUUAGGUAUAUUAAAUAUGUAGCUCCAAAGACACACUCAGGGAAGAAAGUUCAACAUGCAAUCAGAAGGGUAGAGGCUGCACCUCAGUAGAAUAAAUGCUUUGAAUACAUUUAUCAGCUCUGCUUCAUGUGUCCACAUACUUCAUCAGUGAUCUCAUCAAAUUGAGACAUGAUUAGAGCUGAAAUUGGAGGCAAUGGCCGAGGGCUCCACCCCUUCUCUCCUCCUUACUUUUCAAUAGCCUACUUUACUGCAAUCCCUGUGUCUAACUGGCUUAAAAAUCUUCCUUCUGAGUUCUUGACAUGGCUUCCCUUCUCUGGCACUUUGAUGUCUGGUAUUUAUGUCUCCUUUCUGGUAUCUGGAUCUCAGCUUUCCUCUUCUGCAAUGCUAGCCUCUUGGACCAAGAUUUCAGCUGAUAGUUGUGGUAGGAAAGGCUUGCUCUAGUCUAGACCUAAACAGGGAAGAACCCAAGUCUCAUGUUAAUCAUUUGGUUGGUGCUCAGGUCAGCC
Molecule: long non-coding RNA, 6555 nt
Filed under: Sus scrofa (pig)
Lineage: Eukaryota; Metazoa; Chordata; Mammalia; Artiodactyla; Suidae
Description: lncRNA (ENSSSCG00035008583.1)
Source: RNAcentral